This 380-nucleotide long non-coding RNA is filed under the name Amborella trichopoda. RNAcentral's name for it is "long non-coding RNA (ATRI_LNC003958)". The record is from RNAcentral. Lineage: Eukaryota; Viridiplantae; Streptophyta; Magnoliopsida; Amborellales; Amborellaceae.
UGCAUGAUCACAGUCUCUCUCUUCCCUCCUCGUGGUUCAGCAUGACCACCAAUUCUCCCUUUUCUUUCCUUUUUAUUUCUUGCAUGACCACUUCCUCCAUGUGGACCCUCGGGUCCACCUCCUUCUUCUUUUCCUGAUGAUCCCUCAUGUUCGUCCCUUUUCUUUUCUUUUUCCAUACUCCCUCGUAGCACCCUUCUUUCUAUACCCUAGUGGUGACUCCCUCUCUCUCAUGUCACAUGGUCUCGUGAGACCACCAUGCCCCAAAUCCUUCUUCCCCUAAUACCGUGCAAAUAUAAUCCCAUCGUCGAGCCACACGUGAACAUAACCUAUCUCCGCGAAAACCUCUACCUAUCGCCGCGCAUGAACUUUUACCUAUCGCC